Molecule: ribosomal RNA, 670 nt
Filed under: uncultured bacterium
Lineage: Bacteria
Description: bacterial SSU rRNA
Rfam family: Bacterial small subunit ribosomal RNA
Source: RNAcentral
AGCACAGUAAGUACUUCGGUAUUUAUGGGUGGCGAGUGGCGGACGGGUGAGUAAUAGGUAGGAAUCUGUCCUGGAGAGUGGGAUAACCCGCGGAAACGCGGGCUAAUACCGCAUGAUAUUGAGAGAUCAAAAGCAGGGGACCCUUCGGGGCCUUGCGCUCUGGGGUGAGCCUACGUCGGAUUAGCUAGUUGGUGGGGUAAAGGCCUACCAAGGCGACGAUCCGUAGCUGGUCUGAGAGGAUGACCAGCCACACUGGGACUGAGACACGGCCCAGACUCCUACGGGAGGCAGCAGUGGGGAAUCUUGGACAAUGGGGGAAACCCUGAUUCAGCGAUACCGCGUGUGUGAAGAAGGCCUUCGGGUUGUAAAGCACUUUAGUUGGGGAAGAAAGGUACAAGGGGAAUAUCCUUGUGCUGUGACGGUACCCAAAGAAUAAGCACCGGCUAACUCUGUGCCAGCAGCCGCGGUAAUACAGAGGGUGCAAGCGUUAAUCAGAAUGACUGGGCGUAAAGGGCGUGUAGGUGGUUGACUAGGUUUGAUGUGAAAUCCCCGGGCUUAACCUGGGAAUGGCGUCGAAAACGGGUUGACUAGAGUGAGACAGAGGGUUGUGGAAUUUCCGGUGUAGCGGUGAAAUGCGUAGAUAUCGGAAAGAACAUCAGUGGCGAAGGCG